AAAAAUAAAAAUUAAUAAUGGGGGUUAUUAAUAAAAAAAUUUUUAAUAUGGGGGUAUUAAAGUAAAUAAAAAAAAAAUAAUUAAAAUUUAUAGUUUAUUAGUAUUGUGAAAGAAUUUUUAAAAAAAAUUAUUUAAAAGUAAUUUUAAUUUAAUGUAUCUUGUGUAUCAAGUUUAUUAAUUUAUUAUAAAAAUUUAAAUUUUCUCAAUUAAAAAGAGAUAAUUAAUUAAAAAAGUUAUUGUAACAUAAAUAUUUUUAAUAAUUAAUUUGAAAUGAAAUGUUAAUCGUUUUUUAAAAUAUCUAGUUUUUUUAAAAAAAAUUUAAUUUUUAAUUAAUUAAAAUAAAAUUUAUAUAAAUUAAAUUUUAUUUUAAUUAAUUUAAUAAUUUAAGGGAUAACUUUAAAUUAAAAUGUUAUAAUUUAUUCAAAAAAAAAAAUAAAAUUUUUAUUAUUUAUAUUGUAAAUAAAUUUUAAUAUAUUAUAAUUAAUUUUAUAAAAGAAAAUAUUUAAUUGAAUUUAAUUUUUUAUAAAAAAAAUAUUUUUUAAUAAAUUAAAAUUAGAUAUAAUGAUAAAAUUAGUAUAAUAAUUAAAUUAUAAUAAAUGAUUUUUGUUAAUUAAUUUAAAGGAAUUCGGCAAAAUUUAUAUUCACUUGUUUAUCAAAAACAUGUCUUUUUGUUAAUAAUUUAAAGUCUAAUCUGCCCACUGAAUAAAUUUAAAGGGCUGCAGUAUUUUGACUGUACAAAGGUAGCAUAAUCAUUAGUCUCUUAAUUAGUGACUUGUAUGAAAGAUUGGAUGAAAUAUAAUCUGUCUCUUAAUUAUAAUAUUAGAAAUUAAUUUUUUAAUUAAAAAGUUAAAAUAAAUUAAAAAGACGAGAAGACCCUAUAGAGUUUUAUAAAUAGUUUAAUUAAAAAUAUUUAUAAAUUUAUUAUUUAAAAUUAAAUAAAUUAUUUUAUUGGGGUGAUAAAAAAAUUUAAAUAACUUUUUUUUUUAUUUAACAUAAAUAAGUGAGUUAUUGAUCCAUUAUUAUUGAUUAUAAAAAAAAAUUACCUUAGGGAUAACAGCGUAAUUUUUUUUUUUAGUACAAAUAAAAAAAAAAGUUUGCAACCCCAAUGUUGGAUUAAAAUUAAUUUUAAAUGCAAAAGUUAAAUAAAUUUGAUCUGUCCAAUCAUUAAAAUCUUACAUGAUCGGAGUUCAAACCGGCGUGAUGCCAGGUGGGUUUCUAUCUUUUAAAUUAUAUAAUAUUUUAGUACGAAAGGAUCAGAUAUUAAAAUUAAAUUUAUUUUUUUUUGAAUAUUAUUAAAAAUUAAUAGUAAAAUUAAGAUUUAUUUAUUUAUUUAAUAUGAGCUAUUUUGGCAGAA
This 1354-nucleotide ribosomal RNA is filed under the name Trabala vishnou guttata. RNAcentral's name for it is "16S ribosomal RNA". The record is from RNAcentral. Lineage: Eukaryota; Metazoa; Arthropoda; Insecta; Lepidoptera; Lasiocampidae.